GAGGAACGAAACAACGCUGGACUAUCAUUUCUAUAUUUGGACGAUCAGCACCUCUUUGAAGCUAUCUCUCAAUAUCUGUGUGUCCUCAUAAGAUCCGAUCGAUUUAGUCCUUGUUAGUGCUCUUAGAUUCUGAAUUCUUCAUCAGCACUGAGACAUGAGUUUCCUCUUCGGCAAGAGAAAAACCCCCGCAGAACUUCUGCGGGAAAAUAAGAGGAUGCUGGAUAAAUCUAUUAGAGAGAUAGAGAGGGAGAGGCAAGGUCUACAGGCUCAAGAAAAGAAACUAAUUGCAGAGAUAAAGAAAAGUGCUAAGCAAGGACAGAUGGGAGCUGUUAAAGUAAUGGCAAAAGACCUUAUUAGGACAAGACAUCAGAUUGAAAAGUU
This 381-nucleotide unclassified non-coding RNA is filed under the name Hevea brasiliensis (rubber tree). Lineage: Eukaryota; Viridiplantae; Streptophyta; Magnoliopsida; Malpighiales; Euphorbiaceae. The record is from RNAcentral.